Molecule: ribosomal RNA, 259 nt
Filed under: uncultured bacterium
Lineage: Bacteria
Description: partial 16S ribosomal RNA
Rfam family: Bacterial small subunit ribosomal RNA
Source: RNAcentral
GUCCACACCGUAAACGAUGGAUACUAGGUGUCCGGGACUUCGGUCCUGGGUGCCCAAGGGAAACCGAUAAGUAUCCCACCUGGGGAGUACGUCCGCAAGGAUGAAACUCAAAGGAAUUGACGGGGGCCCGCACAAGCGGUGGAGCAUGUGGUUUAAUUCGAUGAUACGCGAGAACCUUACCUGGGCUAGAAUGCCCCUGACAGGCCGUGAAAGCGGUUUUUCCUUCGGGACAGGGUGCAAGGUGCUGCAUGGUUGUCGU